CCUACGGGAGGCUGCAGUCGAGAAUUAUUCACAAUGGGGGAAACCCUGAUGGUGCGACGCCGCGUGGGGGAAUGAAGGUCUUCGGAUUGUAAACCCCUGUCAUGUGGGAGCAAAUUAAAAAGAUAGUACCACAAGAGGAAGAGACGGCUAACUCUGUGCCAGCAGCCGCGGUAAUACAGAGGUCUCAAGCGUUGUUCGGAAUCACUGGGCGUAAAGCGUGCGUAGGCUGUUUUGUAAGUCGUGUGUGAAAGGCGCGGGCUCAACCCGCGGACGGCACAUGAUACUGGGAGACUAGAGUAAGGGAGGGGGAACCGGAAUUCUCGGUGUAGCAGUGAAAUGCGUAGAUAUCGAGAGGAACACUCGUGGCGAAGGCGGGUUCCUGGACAUUAACUGACGCUGAGGCACGAAGGCCAGGGGAGCGAAAGGGAUUAGAUACCCGAGUAGUC
This 446-nucleotide ribosomal RNA is filed under the name uncultured bacterium. RNAcentral describes it as "partial 16S ribosomal RNA". It matches the Rfam family "Bacterial small subunit ribosomal RNA", at positions 338 to 795 of the family's 1533-position model. The record is from RNAcentral.